Molecule: ribosomal RNA, 1415 nt
Filed under: metagenome
Description: bacterial LSU rRNA
Rfam family: Bacterial large subunit ribosomal RNA
Source: RNAcentral
UUAUGGUCAACCGCGUAGGCGGCACGAGGCUGGGGAGCAGUUAAGUACACUUCCCAAGAAGGCUGAGUGCUGACAGGACCGAAAAAGAGUAGGGAAGCGUCUGAGUUCACGCUGGCGAGAAAAGCUGCUAAGGAGAGUGUGAGUGCCCGUACCGGAAACCGACGCAGGUGGGCGAGGAGAGAAUCCUGAGACGGACGGGAGAACUCUUGUUAAGGAACUCGGCAAAAUGACCCCGUAACUUCGGGAGAAGGGGUGCCUCGAAAGAGGCCGCAGAGAAUAGUCACAAGCGACUGUUUAGCAAAAACACAGGUAUCUGCGAAAGCGAGAGCUGACGUAUAGGUGCUGACGCCUGCCCGGUGCUGGAAGGUUAAGGGGAAGUGUUAGGGGAAACCCGAAGCAGAGAACCGAAGCCCCAGUAAACGGCGGCCGUAACGAUAACGGUCCUAAGGUAGCGAAAUUCCUUGUCGGGUAAGUUCCGACCCGCACGAAUGGCGUAACGACUUGUGAGCUGUCUCAACAGGAGGCCCGGUGAAAUUGAAGUAUGUGUGAAGAUGCACAUUACCCGCGACUGGACGGAAAGACCCCGUAGAGCUUUACUGUAACCUGACAUUGGAUCUUGAUAACGGAUGCACAGGAUAGGUGGGACGCAGAGAGACGAGGACUUCGGUUUUCGUGGAGCGGCCGUUGGGAUACCACUCUUCUGUUAUUGAGAUUCUAACCUCAAGCCGUAAGCCGGAUGAGAGACAGUGUCAGGCGGACAGUUUGACUGGGGCGGUCGCCUCCGAAAGAGUAACGGAGGCGCCCAAAGGUACCCUCAGAAUGGAUGGAAACCAUUCGAAGAGAGCAAAGUCAGAAGGGUGCUUGACUGCGAGACCAACAAGUCGAGCAGGUACGAAAGUAGGGCUUAGUGAUCCGGCGGUAAGAGAGUGGAAUUGCCGUCGCUCAACGGAUAAAAGCUACCUCGGGGAUAACAGGCUGAUCUCCCCCAAGAGUUCACAUCGACGGGGAGGUUUGGCACCUCGAUGUCGGCUCGUCGCAUCCUGGGGCUGAAGCAGGUCCCAAGGGUUUGGCUGUUCGCCAAUUAAAGCGGCACGCGAGCUGGGUUCAGAACGUCGUGAGACAGUUCGGUCCCUAUCCAUCGUGGGCGAAGGACACAUGAGAGGAGCUGCUCCUAGUACGAGAGGACCGGAGUGGACGCAUCACUGGUGCAACUGUUGUCGUGCCAACGGCACAGCAGGGAAGCGAAAUGCGGAUGGGAUAAACGCUGAAGGCAUCUAAGCGUGAAGCCCACCUCAAGAAUAAGUGUCCCAUUCGAAAGAAGUAAGACCCCUGGAGGACUACCAGGUGAUAGGUCAUCGGUGAAAGAGUGGCAACAUUUGGAGCUUGGUGAUACUAAUCGGUCGAGGACUUGAUCG